UGCCAGCCGCCGCGGUAAUACAGAGGGUGCAAGCGUUAAUCGGAAUUACUGGGCGUAAAGGGCGCGUAGGUGGUUAAUGAGGUUAGCUGUGAAAUACCCGGGCUUAACCUGGGGGUGUCAGCUAAAACGUAUUGACUAGAGCGAGUGAGAGGGUAGGAGAAUUUCCGGUGUAGCGGUGAAAUGCGUAGAUAUCGGAAGGAAUACCGGUGGCGAAGGCGCCUACCUGGCACUUGUCUGACACUGAGGCGCGAAAGCGUGGUUAGCGAACAGGAUUAGAUA
This 279-nucleotide ribosomal RNA is filed under the name uncultured bacterium. RNAcentral's name for it is "partial 16S ribosomal RNA". It matches the Rfam family "Bacterial small subunit ribosomal RNA", at positions 506 to 784 of the family's 1533-position model. The record is from RNAcentral.